RNAcentral lists this non-coding RNA (26 nucleotides) under Cricetulus griseus (Chinese hamster). RNAcentral also lists the same sequence under 1 other name. Lineage: Eukaryota; Metazoa; Chordata; Mammalia; Rodentia; Cricetidae. The record is from RNAcentral.
GAUGGCUCAGAGGUUAAGAGCACUGA